This 193-nucleotide ribosomal RNA is filed under the name uncultured Gammaproteobacteria bacterium. RNAcentral's name for it is "partial 16S ribosomal RNA". It matches the Rfam family "Bacterial small subunit ribosomal RNA", at positions 337 to 523 of the family's 1533-position model. The record is from RNAcentral. Lineage: Bacteria; Pseudomonadati; Pseudomonadota; Gammaproteobacteria.
UCCUACGGGAGGCAGCAGUGGGGAAUAUUGGACAAUGGGGGCAACCCUGAUCCAGCAAUGCCGCGUGUGUGAAGAAGGCCUGCGGGUUGUAAAGCACUUUCAGUGGGGAAGAAAAAAUCGGAUCUAACACAUCCGAUCUUGACGUUACCCAUAGAAGAAGCACCGGCUAACUCCGUGCCAGCAGCCGCGGUAA